This 257-nucleotide ribosomal RNA is filed under the name uncultured bacterium. RNAcentral's name for it is "partial 16S ribosomal RNA". It matches the Rfam family "Bacterial small subunit ribosomal RNA", at positions 99 to 354 of the family's 1533-position model. The record is from RNAcentral.
CGAACGGGUGAGUAACGCGUGAGCAACCUGCCUCAUACAACGGGAUACCCGAGGGAAACUUCGGUUAAUACGGUAUAAGACCACACUACCGCAUGGUAGAGGGGUAAAAGGAGAAAUCCGGUAUGAGAUGGGCUCGCGUCGCAUUAGCUAGUUGGUGAGGUAACGGCCCACCAAGGCGACGAUGCGUAGCCGACCUGAGAGGGUGAUCGGCCACAUUGGGACUGAGAUACGGCCCAGACUCCUACGGAAGGCAGCAG